This is a ribosomal RNA of 335 nucleotides. It matches the Rfam family "Bacterial large subunit ribosomal RNA", at positions 675 to 1084 of the family's 2925-position model.
CAGCACCCUCAAGCAAAGAGAUCUUUAGUUUGAUACCCCGAAACCAGGUGAGCUACCCCGAGACAGCCUAUGUAAUUUAGGGCUAACCCGUCUCUGUGGCAAAAGAGUGGGAAGAGCUCCGGGUAGAAGUGACAGACCUACCGAACCUGGUGAUAGCUGGUUGCCUAGGAAAUGAAUAGAAGUUCAGCCUCGCACCCCCUUAAUCAAAAACGCAUUAUCAAGAUGCUAUGGAAAUUUGCGAGAGUUAGUUGAAGGGGGUACAGCCCCUUUAACAAAGGAUACAACCUUCACAGGAGGAUAAAGAUCAUAAUAGAUAAGAUACACUGUUCUAGUGG